This 332-nucleotide ribosomal RNA is filed under the name uncultured bacterium. Its description in RNAcentral is "bacterial SSU rRNA". It matches the Rfam family "Bacterial small subunit ribosomal RNA", at positions 568 to 898 of the family's 1533-position model. The record is from RNAcentral.
CGCGUAGGCGGCAGGCGAGGUCGGGGGUGAAAUCCCACAGCUUAACUGUGGAAGAGCCUUCGAUACCGGCUUGCUGGAGGAAGGUAGGGGUGCGCGGAACUUCUGGUGGAGCGGUGAAAUGCGUUGAUAUCAGAAGGAACGCCGGCGGCGAAAGCGGCGCACUGGACCUUUUCUGACGCUGAGGCGCGAAAGCCAGGGGAGCAAACGGGAUUAGAUACCCCGGUAGUCCUGGCCCUAAACGAUGGGUACUAGGUCGUGGGCCGGUCAUGGGCUCACAGCCGAAGCAAAAGUGUUAAAGUACCCCGCCUGGGGAGUAUGGUCGCAAGGCUGAA